This 253-nucleotide ribosomal RNA is filed under the name uncultured bacterium. RNAcentral describes it as "partial 16S ribosomal RNA". It matches the Rfam family "Bacterial small subunit ribosomal RNA", at positions 524 to 776 of the family's 1533-position model. The record is from RNAcentral.
UACAGAGGUGGCAGGCGUUGUUCGGAAUUACUGGGCGUAAAGGGCGCGUAGGCGGCUUGGUCAGUCCCGUGUGAAAUCCCUCGGCUCAACUGAGGAACUGCACGGGAAACUGCCUGGCUUGAGUUCGGGAGAGGGAAGCGGAAUUCCGGGUGUAGCGGUGAAAUGCGUAGAUAUCCGGAGGGACACCGGUGGCGAAGGCGGCGGCCUGGACCGACACUGACGCUGAGGCGCGAAAGCUAGGGGAGCAAACGGG